RNAcentral lists this unclassified non-coding RNA (276 nucleotides) under Hevea brasiliensis (rubber tree). Lineage: Eukaryota; Viridiplantae; Streptophyta; Magnoliopsida; Malpighiales; Euphorbiaceae. The record is from RNAcentral.
AUUGGCGAGUGCACCGCCAGGGUAUUUGUCCAAAACGGUGCCAAGGUCCUGAUAGCAGAUGUCCAAGAUGAUCUCGGCCACUCUCUCUGCCAAGAAUUUGGAUCCCCAGAAAUCAUCUCUUAUGUCCGCUGCGAUGUAACUAGCGACUCUGACGUCAAAAACGCUGUGGAUACUGCCGUCUCCAGAUACGGAAAACUGGACAUCAUGUUCAACAACGCUGGGGUUUCAGGCAGCCCUGGAGCAAAUAUCCUGGGCUCUGACAAUGAAGAAUUCAAG